GCCGCGGUAGCCCAUUUGGUAGAGGCGUCUGCAGUACUGAUGACGAAAGUCGCAGGUUCAAAUCCUGCACGCGGUG
Molecule: non-coding RNA, 76 nt
Organism: Phthorimaea operculella (potato tuberworm)
Lineage: Eukaryota; Metazoa; Arthropoda; Insecta; Lepidoptera; Gelechiidae
Source: the annotation of a GenBank genome assembly